Long non-coding RNA from Sinocyclocheilus rhinocerous, 724 nucleotides. RefSeq lists it as uncharacterized. Lineage: Eukaryota; Metazoa; Chordata; Actinopteri; Cypriniformes; Cyprinidae. The transcript has 2 exons. The record is from RefSeq and is a predicted model, not a curated record.
GGGGCCAGGGGUCUGGGGGCCACAUUCAGUAACGGAGAGGAACACAAACCGCCCGUCUUCUACAGCAUCACUGAACGCGACUGGCAAGAGCUUCAUAACUGUGGCGUCAUGUUGGACGCGAGGAUGAAGAAUUUCUCUCUGGUACCACGUUGCCUGCAACCAAACAUAUCCGAGGCGUCCGUUUCCACCCCAGCGUAACAUAAAGCCACUUAUUAAUGUCAUUAUUUGACUGAUUUUAAGCACUUAAGAACCUGGAGUCUUCUAAGAAGCUUCAGUUGCUUUGAAGAAGUUUUGCUGGGACCAGAGCUUAAGAAGUGUUAUUAACCAGAACAACUUCAUAGCCAUCACAACUGAUGCAUAUACCGCAAAUAGGUGCGAUUAGCUUUAACAAAUGGGACUGUUGGCGUUUACAGAUACACUUAAUUAUAUUCAAGUCCGUUUUAUAAAUAUGUAUACACAUAUAGUAUUUCCACUUACUAAUGGAAUCAGUCAUGUACCCAACAGCCGAAGUUAUUUAUUAAAGCUGGAGUCUAGUUUCAUGACAUCAUCAGAUGCUUUUAAAGAAACAUGCACUUGUUUUUUGUUAUUUGUAUUAAGAAACUGGAAAAUUGUGGUCUUUGUCCUAUUUGAACUGUUGCAGGAAUAGUUCAGCAAAAUACAAUGGAAACUUUGUAAACUCUUAAAAUCUUAGGCCUAAAAUGCACUUUAAAGGAAUAGUUUGCCC